CUGGUCAAGCGCGAUGAUCGCGGCGCCGCAAGGCGCUCGAGGAAAGUCCGAGCUCCAUCGGGUAGACUGCCAGGUAACGCCUGGGCGCCGCAAGGCGACGGACAGGGCCACAGAAAAUAAACCGCCCCUUUAGGUCGCAAGACCUCGGGGGGUAAGGGUGAAACGGUGGGGUAAGAGCCCACCGCGCCGCUGGUAACAGCGGUGGCAGGGUAACCCCCAGUCGGAGCAAGGCCAAAUAGGCGGCGAGGUGUGACCCACACCGACAAUCCCGAAACUUCGAGUAGAGGUCAGGGAAGCCGCGGGUAGGCUGCUAGAGGUGGCCGGCGACGGCCAUCGCAGACAGAUGAUCAUCUCCCGGUCUUUCCGACUUCGAGCCUCUGGCGAGGGGGAGGAUGUACCUGGGAAACAGAACUCGGCUUACGGCAUGACCAGCUGC
This 436-nucleotide RNase P RNA is filed under the name Gemmatimonadales bacterium. Its description in RNAcentral is "RNase P RNA component class A". It matches the Rfam family "Bacterial RNase P class A". From Rfam's summary of the family: Ribonuclease P (RNase P) is a ubiquitous endoribonuclease, found in archaea, bacteria and eukarya as well as chloroplasts and mitochondria. Its best characterised activity is the generation of mature 5'-ends of tRNAs by cleaving the 5'-leader elements of precursor-tRNAs. Cellular RNase Ps are ribonucleoproteins. The record is from RNAcentral. Lineage: Bacteria; Pseudomonadati; Gemmatimonadota; Gemmatimonadia; Gemmatimonadales.